UUUUGGACAAUGGGCGAAAGCCUGAUCCAGCAAUGCCGCGUGUGGGAAGAAGGCCUUCGGGUUGUAAACCACUUUUGUACGGAACGAAAAGGUCUGCCCUAAUACGGUGGGCCCAUGACGGUACCGUAAGAAUAAGCACCGGCUAACUACGUGCCAGCAGCCGCGGUAAUACGUAGGGUGCGAGCGUUAAUCGGAAUUACUGGGCGUAAAGCGUGCGCAGGUGGUUAUAUAAGACAGUUGUGAAAUCCCCGGGCUCAACCUGGGAAUUGCAUCUGUGACUGUAUAGCUAGAGUACGGUAGAGGGGGAUGGAAUUCCGCGUGUAGCAGUGAAAUGCGUAGAUAUGCGGAGGAACACCGAUGGCGGAGGCAAUCCCCUGGACCUGUACUGACGCUCAUGCACGAAA
RNAcentral lists this ribosomal RNA (404 nucleotides) under uncultured bacterium. RNAcentral's name for it is "bacterial SSU rRNA". It matches the Rfam family "Bacterial small subunit ribosomal RNA", at positions 362 to 758 of the family's 1533-position model. The record is from RNAcentral.